UGCGGUGUGGUUGCAGUUGGUAGCACGCUGGGCUCAUAACCCAGAGGCCGCCGGUUCGAGUCCGGCCACCGCAU
This 74-nucleotide transfer RNA is filed under the name Nocardia ignorata. It matches the Rfam family "tRNA". From Rfam's summary of the family: Transfer RNA (tRNA) molecules are approximately 80 nucleotides in length. Their secondary structure includes four short double-helical elements and three loops (D, anti-codon, and T loops). Lineage: Bacteria; Bacillati; Actinomycetota; Actinomycetes; Mycobacteriales; Nocardiaceae. The record is from Rfam by way of RNAcentral.